This 497-nucleotide ribosomal RNA is filed under the name uncultured bacterium. RNAcentral's name for it is "partial 16S ribosomal RNA". It matches the Rfam family "Bacterial small subunit ribosomal RNA", at positions 28 to 507 of the family's 1533-position model. The record is from RNAcentral.
GAUGAACGCUGGCGGCGUGCCUAACACAUGCAAGUCGAACGGAAGGACGAUAAGCUUGUUCCUUUGCUGUUAGCGGCGGGCGGGCGAGUAACGCGUGGAUCCCCUACUUCUAUUUCGGGGAUAAUUACGGAAAACCGCAGAUAAUACUAGAGAAUAUUUUGUACCGCAUGGUUCAAAGGAGAAUGACGGCCUUGCCGUCUGUAAUAGCUGGUUCCGCGCUGGAUAAGCUAGUUGGUAAGGUAACGGCUUACCAAGGCUACGAUGCGUAGCCGACCUGAGAGGAUGAUCAGCCACACUGGAACUGAGACACGGUCCAGACUCCUACGGGAGGCAGCAGUAGGGAAUCUUGGGCAAUGGGCGAAAGCCUGACGGAGCAACGCCGCGUGAGUGAUGAAGGUCUUCGGGUCGUAAAACUCUGUUAUUGGGGAAGAAAAGAUGUGUGAGUAUCUGUGCACGUCUUGACGGUACCUAAUCAGAAAGCCACGGCUAACUUCGUG